RNAcentral lists this long non-coding RNA (7706 nucleotides) under Gallus gallus (chicken). RNAcentral describes it as "lncRNA (ENSGALG00010025561.1)". The record is from RNAcentral. Lineage: Eukaryota; Metazoa; Chordata; Aves; Galliformes; Phasianidae.
GUUUUAUAUCCUCAGUCAGAGGGAAGUUUAAAGGAAGAAUCUGAAACAACUGAAAUGAUUCAUCAGUAAGGAGAGGUUUCUAAUAUGAAUGUUCAGUGUGCUUAAGGCAACUUUAGGGAGCAUAAGUUUCAGCAGAAAGUUUUGUGCUUUGAUUUUUAUAGUUUUGAAUAUGUAUUUUAAAAAUUAUGUCUUUAUGAUGUAAGAAAACAUCCUCAGCUUCAUGUAAAUACUAAGCAUCAGUCAGAACUGACACAUAUUUUGAUAUAAUUCAAAUUGCAGGUGAACCAGAAAAAGGAGGAUGUAAGUAAACUAGCAAUACCACACUGCCACAAAGCACUGAGGGGAGGACGGUUGUUUACAUAUAAUGAAACCUCAUCCUGUCUGUUGGACCCUUCAUCCUGUCAGUCUACCAUUACUGUAAUACAGAAUACAUAUUAGAAGGAUUUGAGAGGAACCCACCAUUUGUUUUCUUCCAGUCACAAAACAGCCACCAGCAGAAGAGCUGGAUUCAGACGAUUGAAAGGGUAGGAAACAUAUUAUCAAUAUUCUAAGUGUGAACUGAUUUGAAAAAAUACAUCUCUCCGUAGACACUUCCUGAAAAUCUUAUGUGAACUAUUUUAUAAGAGCACACAGGUGCAAUGGCUUUGCCAGCUAGCCAAGAUCUUAAGAUUCAUGCUCUUUUUUUUUCUAUUAUCUCUGGUGUAUAGGAGACUGCUCUUAAGGCUAUUCUGUGCAGGAAGUGAUAAGUAUGUUCAUAAAGGUGUGGCUUAGCUCCCUAGCAAUUCCAUGGUUACAGGACUGUAGUAAACUAGCCUUAAGUAAAACAAACAAGCUUUGUGGAAAUCAAAAGCUGAGAAUGCAAGCUAUCUCUUUGAUUAAAGCAGCUAAUCUUUGAUUGUAGGUGGUGAGCUCCACCUUAUUUCCCUGCAUCCAGCAGUUUCACAGGGGCUGGAUGCAUUAUAUCUUUCAAUGCCUUCAAUGCUAGUGCAAAGGAAUGUUUUUAAAAGUCAUUUUCUUCAAGAUGCAAGAAAAAGAGGUUAAAUUUAUAUGGUCCCAAAAAUGUGAUUAAAGGGAAAAGCCUUGUAUCAUUUACUAAAAAUCUCAUCCUAUACAGAAUGGCUCAUCUGAAAGUGAGAGGUACAGAGCAGAACACAAUACUAAACAGAAUCUACAUCUUUUGUCAUGUUUGUCUUCCCAGGAAUAAAGAUGAAUAGCAUAAGCUUAGAUAUUACAGUGCAUAUAAGGAUUUAAUCUAUCUGGAAAAAAAAAAAAAAAUAAGUGGAGAGGUGAGGCCAAAACUGGCCUGUAAACUGUGGACAAAGAGGUUGGCCUUGUCUAUCUCCCCAUUCACAUAAAGCAAAACACUGGACAAAGAGAAGCAGCAGUUGAAUGACGGUAAGUCCAAAUUAUGUCCCAGACAUCUACUUUACACAGAGCAUUAUCAGUACGUUGACUCUACUCACUGCAUAGCUACUCGCAAGUUGUGCCAGGCAAUUUUCUCUUCUGUGUGCCCUAGGGCUCUUUCCCUUUUCCUUACCAUCAUACAAUUAUGUGUAAAAAAGACAAAAUCUUAAUGUAUUGUAACUGUCACACUGCGCUUGAAAUAGUUACUUGAGAAAACCAAAGAAAGACUGAACACAAGGUGAUAUUUCCUGUCAAACAAGGGUGUGCCACAUUAACAGAGGGCAGUGGAAAGGAGGUGUGGUAGUAUUGGCACUUAUAAAACAGCUCUGUCAGAGCAUUUUAUCACAACUCCAACAAAUUGGGAAGAGAAAGGGCAGAACUCAUUUCACCUGCAUGCCAUGUGCUUACUUAUUAUCUAUGUUUAUAAAGCAAUUGUGUGUUUAUUAAGUGAUAAAAUGAACUGACUUGCAUCAGAUGACAUCUUAAAUUAAGAAUUUCUACAGUGUGCUGAAGGGAAGAACAUAUUUAGUACUGUUGUUUACAUAUGUGUGCAUGGUAUGUAUCUAUAUAUUCUUGAAUGCAUUUACGUACUGCAAUAUGUAUAAUUGACAAUGUUUCUUAGAAAUUCACAUCACUCUAACGUCAACUUGAUAUAUUACUAAGGGCACUACUAUCUUACUUCCAUCAUUUGUUUUUCAUGGCACGUAGAAUCUGUGAUCAAGACAAAGGAACAAUGGUAUUUGCUUAUCCAUACUAAGAGGUUAAAAUGAACAGAUGGUUUGUAAAAUAGAAGCAAUGACAUUUACUUGAGUGAGAAUCUGAUGACUGUAUCUACAUAAAUAUAUAAUACAAUUCAGUAUUAACUAGGGUCUUCCAUGUAAGCAAUUGCAUCUAGAGAUACUGUAGAAGAAAAUGGGAUACCUGCAAAAACUGUAGUUGUCUUACUAAGUUGUAAGUGAUAGAGUAGAAGUAAAAUGGCAAAUUAAUUCUGCCAGUCUGUUAAUAACUAGUCAGGUAAGACUAAGACUGUGUACUUUCAAUACAAGACAGACAAAACCAAAAUACAAAAGUUGUGUAAGAGACUUGAUUUUCUGAAAAAUAUUGUUCCAUUCUUGAGAACGGAUCCGAUAGGAUGCACAAGUUUGAAAUCCCUGUGUCACUUCCUGAAUACGUAAUAAUUGGUGAUGGAGCUGAUUGGAACAAAAUAAUCUUAAUGAAGAUGAAAGCUCAAGAAACCACUGUAUGACAGGUGGCCUAUGGUGUCUAGUUUGGAUGUACAUAGUUGUAUUCAUCAGUAUAUUAUACAAAAUUCAUCAAUGAAUUAUCCUUAAAGCCUAAGUGCUUCAACAGCUGUUUAAGUUUUGCUUAAGUUUGGCAUUUAUGUUUUGCUUCUGUUUAUUCUUUGGCAAGAAACAGAUGUGCAUUAUCAUAUCUUCAUGUGGAAUAAGUUUAAUUAAACUAUAAUGAAGAAACAAAUAUCAGAGCAGCCGAGUUGAAUGGGAAUGAAACAUUAUAGGAACACACCCUCAUUUUUAUCAGUGUUUUAAGUCAGCUGAGGGCUUGUGGUACAAUUAAAUAAAAAGCCAAAGCUAUACACAUUACUAUUCUCUGCCAAGAUACUCUCAUGAGGCUGGUAUCAAGUUGUCAGUAAAGCCUGAGAAAGUGUAACUUGUAUUAAGUCAUCAUUAGUUGUGCAAUUUGGUCUGUUGUUUUUCACAGAGCCAUUUGAACUUCCAGUAUACAGUCUUUCAUAUGCACUUGCUGAUGAAUUCUUUCAUCACUGCUAUCUUGCAGAAUUGAUUAUCAACUCUGAGUAUGUGAGAGUAGUGUAUGGCAUGAUCUUCUGAUCAUACAUUUUGUAUGUUGUCGAAUUGUAUUUUAUGUUUGUGUGCAAGGUAAUUGGAGUUGAAAAUUCAUGUUUCAGAUAGCUUUGGCUGAUUUCAUGUUUCAGUGAAUUUCUGAGAACUUUCUUUACCUACAGUGUGAAGGUGUAUGUGUGAGGCAUGUGAUGGGUUGAGCAGGAUCAAUCCACUGAAGAAAGAAAUAUGAAAAAUCUCUCGUGAAAAGUUAAAGGAAUACUGCUUUUCCUGUCUUGCUUUUCUUGUAGCUGAAAGCCUCUGUGCUGGGUCUUUGAAAGUAAAGCAUGCAGUGCCCCAAAUAAAAUGUCUAAUGGAGACAUCCGGUCACUUAUUUCCUUUUAAGAGGAGCUAACCAUCUGAUCUUUUUGCAACAGAAUAUAAAGUUUAUCCUGUUGAACUUUAAGCAUAUGAAGACAUUUAAAAUGUUAUUGUUUAUAAAGAUGAUAGGAUUAUUUUGAUACAUUGCAUUUAAAUAGUAGUGAAUGAAAGUUAAUAUUUUGGCUUUUAGCUAUCACAGUUUUAGCUAUCAAUAUGUGCUUCUCUUCACUAAGUUGUGGUGGUGGUGUUGGUGGCAAGGAAGGUGGUGGUGGUUUUUUUGCAUUAUAGCUGAAGUGACAACUCACAUAAAAUCUUUUUUUUAACUGCUGUUUGCACUGUCACACUGACAGAUAUGUAAAGUGCUAUAUACAUACUUUCAGUGGCCAAAUAAAGAAUGUAUUAUCAGUAUGUGUCUUGAUCUAAGACAAAAUACUAAUUUUCCUAAUAAAUAAUAUUUUCUGCUGAAUUUUUCAUUUUCAUAUUGUACCCGAGACUAUCAAAAUGUUACUGAUUGCAAUGAGAAUUUAUUUGAGCAGAUUUUAGGGGCAAUAAAACGUUACAGAAAGUGAAUUUUCAGUCACAAGUAAGGCAGAUUGAAAGGUUAAGGAAGUACUUGCCUAUUCAUCUCAUUAGGUAACAGAAAUCCUAUCACAUGGCUUGUCUUUAAACCCUACUGCAGUUUAAAGAUCCUGUCUCAACUAGUUUCAGUGAAUUAUUUGAAAGAUCAGAUUGGCCAGUAGGAAAAUGUUUUCCUUCAGCAACAUAGUUGCAGUGCUGGAGCAGGUUAUUCCUGGAGGUUUGGAAUCAUUGUCCUUGGAGGUUUUCAGGAGUCACCUAGGCAAAGCAUUGAUAGGUUCAAUCUGGUGUUGGUGUAGUCCAGCUCUGACCACAGUGUUGGACAAGAGGACUUCCAGAAGUCCCUACCUGCUGACGUUUCAAUGAUUCUAAUUCCAGAAAAAUGAUUAACGAUUUAUUUGAAGGGGAACAUGAUUUCCAAUGAGACAAAAAUCUAAAUUUACUGUAUAAUUGUUCAAACUGGUAACCUUAGUGUAAGUCUGUAAUAAUAUUAAUGAAGGACAGUACCAUGCAUGUACAUUUGUUCCAUCCAUAAAUUUCAUAGAAAAAUAGAACUUUGACCUUCAACAGCCUGCAAUCUGCAGAAACUCAACUAAACAACAUACAUCUGUUCAUUGGAAUUGAGUGGGAGCUGAGUAUGAAUACUUUUGUAGGAUUAGGACACCGGGUUGAUUGUCAGCCCAUAAAGGAGAGAAGCUACGUAAAAUAAUAGGGAAAACAAUUUCAUUUUCAUUUAUGUAGCCUAGUCAUCAGUUUUACCUUUUAGUUUGAGUCUAAAGAAAUUAAAUUCCAGCUGGUGCAGGACUGUAAGUGAAUGCUUUCGGUAUGGCUUGGUGAGACUAAUAUCUGCAGGGUACCAAUCCAUCAGAAACCACUUUUCUGGCGCAAUUUUGCAUAUUACCAAGCUUUUAUGAUUAUCCCAAUGGGAAUUAUUUUGAGGCAUCUACACUAUAUUUACAAUCAUUAUAGACCUACCUGGCAGACCAAAAAAUCAGAUCUCUCAAAACAUCUGGACAGCAAUCAAAGCACACUGCUAAGCAGUUUUUUCCCAUGCCCUUUCCCACUCAUUUGCUGUUAAAGAAAGGAUGCAAAAAAAAAUUCUUAACAUACAGGUUUAUGUUUCAGGAGUUACAGCAUGCUCCUCCUUCAGAAAACAUUGCCUCAGUUGCUUAUAAUCUCAUACAGCAGCUAAGAACAGAAUGGCUCCUGAAUGUCUUUUCAUGUUUGCUUACAGAUGACAUUUCCCCUACCAAUUCAUUCUGGAGAGGCUGAGGCACACAGAAAAAAAAUCUGUUACUAUUAUGCAAAUAAACAAGGGUCCAUACUUAUUUAAUUUAGCUUCUUUGUUUCUUGGAAACAGAGUGAUUUUGGCUAGAUGAGACCUUUGGAGGUCAUUUUGUCCACAAUCUCAGCAUGACCAAUUUUGAAGUUAGACCUGACUUCAAAGUUAGCUCACAUUUCUCAAGGCAUUUCAAGCUAUUUUACAAGAGUCAUUAUCAUUUACAUCAUUUACACUGAUGAGUAAAGUAGAAAGGAAGGAAGGAAGACAAAUAACUUUUUGAUACACAAGUUUGGAACAGAGGACUGACUUUUAGCUAAUCUGAAAGAUAAUCCAAGUUUUGUUGUAGAUCUGAAUGUGGCAAGGUUAUCACUCCAUAUCUCAUUUCUCAAGUUUCAUUCUCUUUUUAUUUGGCUAUUUCAAAAAGAAUUCUGUGGUCAGAACAUUCAGUCAGUGGUGUUUUUAAUAAUAUUGUAUUAAAAGAGAGCCUUGUUUUUGUUUUGUCUUUUUUUCUAUUUAUGGAACUGAGGGAGGAGUAUGUAUAAUAAGAAUGAAAUUGUCACUACAGAUUUAUCCUUUUCAAGCACAAUGAAUUAAAUAAGUUUCUUCAAGUUUCUCAUGUAAUCAAAGACAGGUUUUUUUUUAGUUUUGUUUUCUUAUAAAAAAUAAAUGAAAAAAAAAUUACAAUGCUGAACUUGGAUAACAAUGAAUCUUCAUCUUUAAAACUUUUAUUCCUUGUAUGGAGCCUACAAACAAGAACGUCUAUAAACAUAACUGCCAGGAUAAAGCUAAAGGUGAGCCAUAAACUCUUUAUUUCAACAAGAUCUCAGUUACAAAUUAACUUUGUAAUGCUCAGUGUACAGUGUUUAUACCACAUGGUGUUUCAGGAAGUAGAUCCUGUUGCUGUUCUCUGGAGACAUGCGAUGUCAUUCCUCUGCAUUUUUUAAAUCAAUAAUGUGGCAGAGUUAUGGGUAGAGGGGAGUGGGAAGACGAUUGCCAAACUUGAAAACUUGUCGAGGUCUUUGGCAUUGAUAUGAAUAGAGUUUCCUUAGCAUGGUAUGUUGCUCAAGUAAAUUACAUUAAUUUUUUAUUUAAUUUUUUUUUUUUUUUUCAUGUUAGAUCAUAGAAGAGAGGUGCAGAGGUACUGGCAUUCUUUGUGCCAGUUCACAGAUGUCUGUAAGCAUAUAUGUCAAGCUAAGAAUAUAUGAAGUGUAUAGUCUUCCAUACAAAUCCAAUAGCUAUCAUUUUGUAUGAAGUAGAUACAUGUUAAGGCUUUGAAAUGACACCCUUGUAAAGGUAGCUAAAUUGUGCCAGACUUGUGGCUAAAUGUGACACUUUUUUUUUUUUUUCUGUGAACAGCUAAAAUUUGCGUUUUCAUUCAUGUGUACAGUUGCUACCUUCCCCCAGACACCUCUGUGGUAUACAUACAUUUGGAAUGGGAACAAUAGGUUGGGAUAAGAGGAACACUUGAAAUGAACGUAUUUUUAUGGUUCUGAUAAAGGGAUAAGAAUCAUCCCACACACAAUUAACAAGCUGUUAAGCUGCUUCAUUCCCAGUAUAUCCAACCAGAAGGAGCAUCAAUGGGAUCUUCUAUACAUGCACUGACAGAGGAAAAUAUUCACAGCUGUUAUGUGAAUUCAUCAGUGCCAGAAAACACACUGCUGAAUAUAUUCUUAUUAUGUAAGUAUAUGUAUGUUACAGAUUAAAGUUUUUACCUCCAUGUAUCUGGGAAUUUUCCCCUUGUACAGCAAGAAUAUAUCAUCAGGACUGCUUUUCAGCUGCACAUGAGCAACAGAGACAACAGCUGAGAGGCAUUUAACAGCUACCUUGUAAAGUUCACAGAGCUGCACCUGUGUGCUCUGAAGUUCUUCGCGUGGUCUCCACCAGGUAAAUACUUGUAAGUUUGAAUUCUAAGAUAGUAUCCUUGAACUGUGUUUACUUUCACUGAAAUAAAUGUAAAUAGUGAUACUUUUAGCAUGUGAAUUGGUGUCUGCCAAACUGGGUCCAUAACUUCAUAAGACUUUAAAACAGCAUAAAAAAACUGACCAGUUUUAAAACUAACAUAUUAAAAGAAGGAAAGAAGAUGAGGUGUUAAUAUUUAAUUAACAUUGGAUAAAUCCAUUGGAUAGUCACAGUUAGAUGUUCAGCUCUGCAUUUUCCCUGCAUUGGGUGUGACUUAGCAGCAGCACUGUUUUUUGGUCACCAAAAAGUAUAUUUCGACCCAACACUGAUAUUGAAUUACAAACUAAAAAUCUAUUUAAACAAUUAAA